CACUUGUGAACUGGACGUGGUUUUAUACACAAAAUUUAAAAAGGAAAAUGCGUUCUCCACUGCGAUCGGCGAUGCUUGCUUUGCUGGCACUAUCUCUUGUAACGAACCAGGUUCAUAGUAGAAAACUGACUCUGCCGCUUGGUUCCGGUUUUAUCAUUUCAAAAAUGAUUCAGAGUACGCCAGAAUUUCGUCGAGGAACAGAAGCCGGCGAGACUUUCAAUAUUCUGAAGUGGUGUUGGUUCGGAUACAGAGCGGCAAAGUUCCUUUCCUAAGUCUUUUCUCUGCCUGUGAACGUUUAAUGCCUGUCGUGGACACUUUCGCCUUCAGAUGCCGUACACAAUUCUGUAUUUAUUGAAAGUUACCACGCUUGCCGUAUUGUUUUGUUGUUCGCCCAUAAAAGCAAA
Mercenaria mercenaria is the source of this 404-nucleotide long non-coding RNA. RefSeq lists it as uncharacterized. The transcript has 3 exons. The record is from RefSeq and is a predicted model, not a curated record. NCBI's taxonomy places the organism in Eukaryota, Metazoa, Mollusca, Bivalvia, Venerida, Veneridae.